This is a long non-coding RNA of Rhopalosiphum padi (bird cherry-oat aphid), 491 nucleotides long. RefSeq lists it as uncharacterized. Lineage: Eukaryota; Metazoa; Arthropoda; Insecta; Hemiptera; Aphididae. The transcript has 3 exons. The record is from RefSeq and is a predicted model, not a curated record.
CCCACAGUAUCCUAAUCUAAUCAUCCUCAGUCAACAGCCACAAGCACAAUUCAUAUGUCCUCAUACUAAAUAUUAACAUUGUUUCCUCUUAUUAAAUUUUGUAUUUACUAUAAUUUUGUCGAUACACAAACGAGAAUUAUCAUGAGGCCCACAAGAAUUGUCGAUAAAAUAUUUCUAGAACCAGAAGAGAUUAAUGACAUACAAAUGGCCUCUGAUGAUGAGACUGAAGUAGAUCUUAUAAAGAAAUACUAUGAACGACAACAGCAUGAACCCUUUUAUAAUGAUUUUAAUGAUCUUAAUGAUGAUGAAGAUUUUUAACAUACAAGGUUCAAAUCAUGAAAAAACAAUUCACAAAUUACUUGAUUCACACUACUAAAUGAUGCUAGUAUAUUUGUGAAACAGUUUUUUAUUUAUUUUUGUUCCAAAUAACUAUUUUUACACAUUACUAUGUAUUUUUUCAUAUUUGAGUAAUAAACAUAUUUAGAUAUGUA